This 674-nucleotide long non-coding RNA is filed under the name Brassica rapa (field mustard). RNAcentral describes it as "long non-coding RNA (BRAP_LNC003013)". The record is from RNAcentral. Lineage: Eukaryota; Viridiplantae; Streptophyta; Magnoliopsida; Brassicales; Brassicaceae.
GGCCGUUUAAACUAAUUUAAUAAACUAUAAACAUAUUUGUUAGCCGGCUAAGCUAAUUUAACACUAAUAUUUUUGACAGCUAUAAAAAUUGUAAGAUAUUCACAAAAACACAACUAAGGAAAAAUACCAAAUAAAAAUACAGGAAGAGAGCUACGCUAAUAGAAAAGUAUGUCAAGUACAUAGCGACUUUCUCUUCUUGACAUGUCACCAAACAACCUCAUAAGCCUGCAACAGAAGCUAUGAAAGUAAACCCAGAAAGAAGCUAGCUAACAUUGUACUCUACAGACUGAAUCUUCAAUAAGAUACAACAACUGAUUAUCGGAGAGCUGUUUCUGGUGGUGCGCCGCCGCUGCGCUAGAUCUCUAUUUUCCGUUCAUUGUCGUUCAACCAUGAAUCACAGCUUUUAUCUCUUAGCAUGAAUCAGAGCCACAAAUGAAUCUUCUAAUUGGAUGUCUGUUAAGCUGUUAAUCAAAGCUUGCUUUUUUAUUUCUAUGUCGUCUCCUUCUCUCUCUCCAUUGAUGAAAUUGAUUAAAACGAAAAAGAAAUCGUUGUUUCUCUUUCUUUCAGAAAUUCAUAGGGCUAAAUAUGUCAUUUUAACCUUUUUCUCUCUCCUAUUUUCUCUAUUUUUCCAUUCUUGCAAAUUACUUAAUCUUUUCUUAUUUUGUUUGCAAAUC